GACGAACGCUGGCGGCGUGCCUAACACAUGCAAGUCGAACGGGGUAAUCCUUCGGGAUUACUUAGUGGCGAACGGGUGAGUAACGCGUGAGAAACCUGCCUCUCAGUGGGGGACAACAGUUGGAAACGACUGCUAAUACCGCAUAACACUUUAGUACCGCAUGGUACAGAAGUCAAAGCUUUAUGUGCUGAGAGAUGGUCUCGCGUCUGAUUAGCUAGUUGGCGGGGUAACGGCCCACCGAGGCGACGAUCAGUAGCCGGUCUGAGAGGAUGAACGGCCACAUUGGGACUGAGAUACGGCCCAGACUCCUACGGGAGGCAGCAGUGGGGAAUAUUGCACAAUGGGGGAAACCCUGAUGCAGCAAUGCCGCGUGAGUGAUGACGGUCUUCGGAUUGUAAAGCUCUGUCUUCAGGGACGAUAAUGACGGUACCUGAGGAGGAAGCCACGGCUAACUACGUG
RNAcentral lists this ribosomal RNA (459 nucleotides) under uncultured bacterium. RNAcentral describes it as "bacterial SSU rRNA". It matches the Rfam family "Bacterial small subunit ribosomal RNA", at positions 28 to 507 of the family's 1533-position model. The record is from RNAcentral.